This 320-nucleotide ribosomal RNA is filed under the name Ctenophora environmental sample. RNAcentral's name for it is "partial Bacterial large subunit ribosomal RNA". It matches the Rfam family "Bacterial large subunit ribosomal RNA", at positions 107 to 443 of the family's 2925-position model. The record is from RNAcentral. Lineage: Eukaryota; Metazoa; Ctenophora.
AAAAUUUCCGAAUGGGGUAACCCAAUCUUUUAAGAUUAUUUCCUUCGGGAAAGGCUAACCUGCUGAAUUGAAACAUCUUAGUAAGCAGAGGAAAAGAAAACAAUAGUGAUUCCCUAAGUAGUGGCGAGCGAACAGGGAACAGCCUAAACCAAUAAUGUUUCGGCAUUAUUGGGGUUGUAGGACUGCAAUAUAAAUUAUUUGAAUGAAAUGGAAGAUAGUUGGAAAACUACACCAUAGAAAGUGAUAGUCUUGUACAUAUAAAUUCUUAUAGUUUUAGCAGUAUCCUGAGUAGCACGGGAAAGGUGAAAUCUUGUGUGAAU